GCAGAAGAGGCAGAUUCCUGACCCACCAUCUGAACUCUGAGGCCUUCAGGUAGAAGGCAACUUUCUAUGGAUUAUGAGUCUCCAGGUUCCAUCAAGCCCCAUCAACAUGGAAGUCUCCUGCAUCGAGAAGCUUCUCUGUUACCGGCCCACUUACAGAGGCAUAGAAGGUCUGCUGAUUUGCUUUAAGCCUGAAGUUACUUUGUAAGACAUCAAAAUAAUUAUCAGACAUAUCCACUCAUCGGAGGCAGUUUGGAACAUACCAAAAAGAAAAAUAUACAUAAUCAUCAUUCCUAUCAUACAGAGUUAACUACCGUUGUUAUACCAUUCCAUCCUUGACUUUUCCUGGUUGUGUUUUCAUCCUUUUGUGCAGCCAUGAUUAUACCAUUGUACAUUUUCA
Molecule: long non-coding RNA, 397 nt
Organism: Prionailurus viverrinus (fishing cat)
Lineage: Eukaryota; Metazoa; Chordata; Mammalia; Carnivora; Felidae
Exons: 2
Source: RefSeq, a predicted model, not a curated record